GGCUCGGUAGCUCAGUUGGUAGAGUAAUGGAUUGAAGCUCCAUGUGUCGGCGGUUCGAUUCCGUCUCGCGCCA
RNAcentral lists this transfer RNA (73 nucleotides) under Streptococcus suis. RNAcentral describes it as "tRNA-Phe". It matches the Rfam family "tRNA". Rfam says of the family: Transfer RNA (tRNA) molecules are approximately 80 nucleotides in length. Their secondary structure includes four short double-helical elements and three loops (D, anti-codon, and T loops). Further hydrogen bonds mediate the characteristic L-shaped molecular structure. tRNAs have two regions of fundamental functional importance: the anti-codon, which is responsible for specific mRNA codon recognition, and the 3' end, to which the tRNAs corresponding amino acid is attached (by aminoacyl-tRNA synthetases). tRNAs cope with the degeneracy of the genetic code in two manners: having more than one tRNA (with a specific anti-codon) for a particular amino acid; and 'wobble' base-pairing, i.e. permitting non-standard base-pairing at the 3rd anti-codon position. The record is from RNAcentral. Lineage: Bacteria; Bacillati; Bacillota; Bacilli; Lactobacillales; Streptococcaceae. RNAcentral also lists the same sequence under 4 other names.